This 1942-nucleotide long non-coding RNA is filed under the name Lathyrus oleraceus (garden pea). RNAcentral describes it as "Pisum sativum (pea) long non-coding RNA (PSAT_LNC042164)". The record is from RNAcentral. Lineage: Eukaryota; Viridiplantae; Streptophyta; Magnoliopsida; Fabales; Fabaceae.
UUAAUAAAAGUCAUAUUAGAAAAGGGAGUGAACCUCACCUGCAGGCCACCUCAAAGGGACACCUAGUUUCGAUGUCGUCUGUGCGCAUUUCUUCAGGUUACAAAACCCGCUAGCAGAAUCCAAAGACAGUCGAACAACACUUGAGAAGAUUUGGGUGCAAAACGAAUCAAUUCCUUAUUUUUCAAAACCACACACCAGUAAAAUGUGCGCAUUUCUUCAGGUUACAAAACCCGCUAGCAGAAUCCAAAGACAGUCGAACAACACUUGAGAAGAUUUGGGUGCAAAACGAAUCAAUUCCUUAUUUUUCAAAACCACACACCAGUAAAAAAAACCUGUCAUAAGGAAAUCAUACAUGGAUAAAACAGGACAAUUACUGCAGUGAAAAGUGAAAAGAGAUGGUUACCGUAGAUGCAUUACAGACAAAACCUUAUCCUUUCAUUUGAGGGACCACAUCAAUUUGGAGGACUUUGAGAUUUCCCUCACACCCAUUCACCAAAGCUCAAUACUCCCAAAGUUCACUCAAAGUUCAUCAUUAGAACUUUGAGAAAACUGAGCUGAAGCCACUGCAAAGCCGAGAGACACCCAAAGUCAGUGAAGGAAAACGAAGAAAGGCGAAAAGAGAAACCGAACGGAGCUUACCGGGGACUUGGAGAGAUUUUUGCUCGAAGAGUCAUCGGAGUUUAAGUGGUCGAAAGCUUCAGAUCUCCUUCCGUCGGUACUUCUUCUUCCCCAUUUACUCACUUCAUGCUAAGAUCUCUAACAUAGUUGUUAUUCACUCAAUAUUGAAUCGAUGUUUCUACUUUUACCGUAAUGCAUAAAUAACUGGAUAUUUGUUGAAUGAGUGUAUUAAUCUCUAUUAUCGCUUUGAAUAUGCCAUCGAAGCUCCUUGCGUCCCAUAUUGCUCCAUUCAUGUGCGCUCUGUUUUGAAUGUUAGGUUUCAAUUUGGUAAACUUGGGAUCUAGGGUAUGAUCGAUUGUUUGCAUGUGUGUUAGAUUUGUGAUGCUCAUCAAGGUUGGGUUAGAUUCUUUGUGAAAUCUGAUGCAGAAAUGCGGUUGAUUCCAGUUUCCAAAGGAAACUUCUUUUAAACAAAUAAUGUAAUUAAUAAAAUGGGUUUAUUUGGUUUUAAUAUAUAUGAAUAGUCAUUAGUGAUUGCAUUAUUCAAGGCCAGCUAGCUGGUGAAUUUAAUUUGUUUUCUACAGUUGGGAAGGCCAAAAGGCUUUUAGCCGCCACAUGUUUCAAGUAGUUGUACAACUGCCUUUCACUUGGUAGUAAGCGGAUUAUUUUCGAAUUCAAGGCCUAUUCACCUUCCACAUUUCAGAUUGCUGUAACUUGUUUUUUUUUAAAUGUAAAGGAGUUUCUUUUGGGCCUUAGGGCCCGUUGCGAAGCCGCACAUUUUUGAGGUCCUCUGUUGGGCCUCUUCUGGUCCACUAUUUCAAGAAUUUCACCUUUUUCAUAACUUGUUUUUUUUUAAAUGUAAAGGAGUUUCUUUUGGGCCUUAGGGCCCGUUGCGAAGCCGCACAUUUUUGAGGUCCUCUGUUGGGCCUCUUCUGGUCCACUAUUUCAAGAAUUUCACCUUUUUCUCAUUUCCCACACAUUCAUAUUUAUUUUACUUAAUAUGUGCAUUAUUUGCCAAAUAUCUCAAUUAAAAUAACUAUGACUAAAUAAGGAUAUUCAUUCGUUCGCUUUCGAUUUUUUUUAUUUUUUUUUAUUUCAUUAGGAUAUUAUAACUAAUCGAAUGGUGGAUUAAAGGUUAAUAUCAACAAAUAAUUUACUUUACUUUCUAAAAUAAAUUUGAUUUUGGUCUAAUACCAAAUGAUCUUUCUCAAAACAUAUUACUCCUAAUUCAACAUAUUUAAUUAAUAUACUCUCCCAAAAUUAUUUAAAUUAAUUUUGAAUGAAAAGGAGAAUAGUAAGCUUCCGCUUUAUUAUCUCUCGAUUAUUC